UACGUAGGGUGCGAGCGUUGUCCGGAAUUAUUGGGCGUAAAGAGCUCGUAGGCGGUCUGUCGCGUCGGUCGUGAAAACUUGGGGCUUAACCCUGAGCUUGCGGUCGAUACGGGCAUGACUGGAGUUCGGCAGGGGAGACUGGAAUUCCUGGUGUAGCGGUGAAAUGCGCAGAUAUCAGGAGGAACACCUAUUGCGAAGGCAGCUCGCUGGGACGUAACUGACGCUGAGACGCGAAAGCGUGGGGAGCGAACAGG
This 254-nucleotide ribosomal RNA is filed under the name uncultured bacterium. Its description in RNAcentral is "partial 16S ribosomal RNA". It matches the Rfam family "Bacterial small subunit ribosomal RNA", at positions 524 to 776 of the family's 1533-position model. The record is from RNAcentral.